RNAcentral lists this ribosomal RNA (444 nucleotides) under uncultured bacterium. RNAcentral describes it as "bacterial SSU rRNA". It matches the Rfam family "Bacterial small subunit ribosomal RNA", at positions 28 to 484 of the family's 1533-position model. The record is from RNAcentral.
GACGAACGCUGGCGGCGUGCUUAACACAUGCAAGUCGAACGAGGUCCAAGCGCUAGCAAUAGCGUGGAAGACCUAGUGGCGAACGGGUGAGUAACACGUGAGGAACCUACCCCGGACUCAGGGAUAACGGCUGGAAACGGCUGCUAAUACCUGAUGCCGUCGGAGCAUCACAUGGUGCACUGACGAAAGAAUCUCGGUUCGGGAGGGCCUCGCGGCCUAUCAGCUGUUGGUGGGGUAACGGCCUACCAAGGCAUCGACGGGUAGCUGGUCUGAGAGGAUGAUCAGCCACACUGGGACUGAGACACGGCCCAGACUCCUACGGGAGGCAGCAGUGGGGAAUCUUGCGCAAUGGGCGAAAGCCUGACGCAGCAACGCCGCGUGCGGGAAGAAGGCCCUAGGGUUGUAAACCGCUUUCAGUAGGAACGAAAAUGACGGUACCUGCAG